CCAGGUGGCGGAGGAGAGCCCGGAGCUGCUGAACCCUGAGCCCAGGAGACUGAGCCCAGAGUUGAGGCUACUGCCCUAUGUGAUCACUCUGGGCGAUGCCGUGCACAACUUCGCCGACGGGCUGGCCGUGGGCGCCGCCUUCGCGUCCUCCUGGAAGACCGGGCUAGCCACCUCGCUGGCCGUGUUCUGCCACGAGUUGCCACACGAGCUGGGGGACUUCGCCGCCUUGCUGCACGCGGGGCUGUCCGUGCGCCAAGCUCUGCUGCUGAACCUGGCCUCCGCGCUCACGGCCUUCGCUGGUCUCUACGUGGCACUCGCGGUUGGAGUCAGCGAGGAGAGCGAGGCCUGGAUCCUGGCAGUGGCCACCGGCCUGUUCCUCUACGUAGCACUCUGCGACAUGCUCCCGGCGAUGUUGAAAGUACGGGACCCGCGGCCCUGGCUCCUCUUCCUGCUGCACAACGUGGGCCUGCUGGGCGGCUGGACCGUCCUGCUGCUGCUGUCCCUGUCCUAGGCCCGUGCCUGAUCCAGGAUCCAAGCUCCUGGAAGCUGGCACUGGGCCCGCCCUGGGUAGGCAGCAGUGAGCAAGGCCGGCGGACAGCGCUGGGCUCGCGGGGUCCUGCGUCCUCCGCGGGAGUGUUGGCGGCGGGGGUCGCUCUGCGCGGGGACACUGGGCAGAGGGGGCGU
RNAcentral lists this small RNA (684 nucleotides) under Pan troglodytes (chimpanzee). RNAcentral describes it as "processed transcript". Lineage: Eukaryota; Metazoa; Chordata; Mammalia; Primates; Hominidae. The record is from RNAcentral.